UACGUAGGGGGCAAGCGUUGUCCGGAAUCAUUGGGCGUAAAGCGCGCGUAGGCGGCCCGGUAAGUCCGCUGUGAAAGUCAAAGGCUCAACCUUUGAAUGUCAGCGGAUACUGCCGGGCUAGAGUCCGGAAGAGGCGAGUGGAAUUCCUGGUGUAGCGGUGAAAUGCGCAGAUAUCAGGAGGAACACCGGUGGCGAAGGCGCCACUCUGGGCCGAAACUGACGCUGAGGAGCGAAAGCGUGGGUAGCAAACAGG
This 253-nucleotide ribosomal RNA is filed under the name uncultured bacterium. RNAcentral describes it as "partial 16S ribosomal RNA". It matches the Rfam family "Bacterial small subunit ribosomal RNA", at positions 524 to 776 of the family's 1533-position model. The record is from RNAcentral.